UACACCUUAUAAAUACGUUUUUUUCAUGUUUUUUUUUUGUUUAUUCUUCAUUAUGUUUAAUACGUACUAGGCUAAUGGUACACAUUAAAUUAUUGGCAGUCACAUACUGGUAGUACAAUUGAAAUAAUGACCAUUUAAUAUUAACAUGACUUUAAACCAGCAUGGGCUGAAAGAAAACAGUAUUGGCCUUGUUCCUGUCAACUCAGAGAGCAUCUAUGUAUGUAGAGUUCAUAUGCCAAUGUGUAGAAAGAGCUUUAAUUUACUCUCUCCUAAGUUUAGGCAGACUUUUGUUAGAUGCUUUUUUUUAAAAAUAUUUUGUCCUCACAGCUUGCCUCCCUUGUUCUUGUUUACUGAUGCAGCAGAUAUUUACAGUCAAAAUAUUUCCAAUGUAUUUUCAACAUAAGCUCUCACUUCUCUUUGUACAUGUAUAAUGAAUCAAUGUUAAACUUUAUAAAUAUUCAAUUCUUCUAUCAGAUUUUCUGUAUUGAGACUAUAGAAUUAAAAAAAAACAUUUUCUUAAAAUUGCUUUUGUAUGCCAUGUAUAGUGCAUCUUGAUGCUGCUGUGGACCUGUGGGAUAUCUGACAGGGAUUUCAUGUUGCCUUUAUACAGUCAGCAAAAAAAAAGUUACAUUAAUGUGAAUGGAAAAGCCACAACUACUAGCCAAUGUAGUGAUUAAAUAAAAAAAAAAAAACAC
This is a non-coding RNA of Biomphalaria pfeifferi, 695 nucleotides long. The record is from the annotation of a GenBank genome assembly. Lineage: Eukaryota; Metazoa; Mollusca; Gastropoda; Planorbidae.